RNAcentral lists this ribosomal RNA (504 nucleotides) under uncultured bacterium. Its description in RNAcentral is "partial 16S ribosomal RNA". It matches the Rfam family "Bacterial small subunit ribosomal RNA", at positions 28 to 523 of the family's 1533-position model. The record is from RNAcentral.
GAUGAACGCUAGCGGCAGGCUUAACACAUGCAAGUCGAGGGGCAGCAUAAAUAGUAGCAAUACUAUUGGUGGCGACCGGCGGACGGGUGCGUAACGCGUAUACAACCUUCCCUAAACAGGGGGAUAAUCUGGAGAGAUUCGGUCUAAUACCCCAUAACAUCAGAGCAGGCAUCUGUUUUGGUUAAAAUUUCCGGAGGUUUAGGAUGGGUAUGCGUAGCAUUAGCUAGUUGGUGAGGUAACGGCUCACCAAGGCGACGAUGCUUAGGGGGACUGAGAGGUUAACCCCCCACACUGGUACUGAGACACGGACCAGACUCCUACGGGAGGCAGCAGUGAGGAAUAUUGGUCAAUGGGCGGAAGCCUGAACCAGUCAUGCCGCGUGCAGGAUGACGGCUCUAUGAGUUGUAAACUGCUUUUGUACGAGGGUAAAGUGGGCUACGUGUAGCCUUUUGAAAGUAUCGUACGAAUAAGGAUCGGCUAACUCCGUGCCAGCAGCAGCCGCCG